Molecule: ribosomal RNA, 292 nt
Filed under: uncultured bacterium
Lineage: Bacteria
Description: partial 16S ribosomal RNA
Source: RNAcentral
GGACUACACGGGUAUCUAAUCCUGUUUGCUCCCCACGCUUUCGUGCCUGAGCGUCAAUCUCAGCCCAGGGGGCUGCCUUCGCCAUCGGUGUUCCUCCACAUCUCUACGCAUUUCACUGCUACACGUGGAAUUCCACCCCCCUCUGCCAGAUUCUAGUCCGCCAGUUUCAACCGCAAUUCCCAAGUUAAGCUCGGGGCUUUCACAGCUGACUUAACGAACCGCCUGCGCACGCUUUACGCCCAGUAAUUCCGAUUAACGCUCGCACCCUACGUAUUACCGCGGCUGCUGGCAC